GAAGCCUACGGGGGGCAGCAGUGGGGAAUAUUGCACAAUGGGGGAAACCCUGAUGCAGCGACGCCGCGUGAGGGAAGAAGUAUUUCGGUAUGUAAAGCUCUAUCAGCAGGGAAGAAAAUGACGGUACCUGACUAAGAAGCCCCGGCUAACUACGUGCCAGCAGCCGCGGUAAUACGUAGGGGGCAAGCGUUAUCCGGAUUUACUGGGGGUAAAGGGAGCGUAGGCGGUAAUGCAAGUCAGAAGGGAAAGCCCGGGGCUCAACGCCGGGACUGC
RNAcentral lists this ribosomal RNA (273 nucleotides) under uncultured bacterium. RNAcentral describes it as "partial 16S ribosomal RNA". It matches the Rfam family "Bacterial small subunit ribosomal RNA", at positions 334 to 624 of the family's 1533-position model. The record is from RNAcentral.